UACGUAGGGGGCUAGCGUUGUCCGGAAUCAUUGGGCGUAAAGCGCGUGUAGGCGGCUUGGUAAGUCCGUUCUGAAAGCCCGGGGCUCAACCCCGGGAGGCGGAUGGAUACUGUCAAGCUCGAGUCCGGAAGAGGCAAGUGGAAUUCCCGGUGUAGCGGUGAAAUGCGCAGAUAUCGGGAGGAACACCGGUGGCGAAGGCGCUCAUCUGGCCCAAUACUGACGCUGAGGCGCGAAAGCUAGGGGAGCAAACGGG
RNAcentral lists this ribosomal RNA (253 nucleotides) under uncultured bacterium. Its description in RNAcentral is "partial 16S ribosomal RNA". It matches the Rfam family "Bacterial small subunit ribosomal RNA", at positions 524 to 776 of the family's 1533-position model. The record is from RNAcentral.